RNAcentral lists this long non-coding RNA (322 nucleotides) under Androctonus crassicauda. Lineage: Eukaryota; Metazoa; Arthropoda; Arachnida; Scorpiones; Buthidae. The record is from RNAcentral.
AAUUCUUUUUAAAAUAAAAGUCGGAUGAUUGAAUAAAAAUUUAUUUUCACAUAAUUAAAAUAUAAAUAACAAUAAAUUUUAAAAUAUGAAAUUAGAUUUAUUUAGUUCUAUCACUGAAUCUCACAAAGAAUAUAUAUGGCAAUGGCCAUUUUUUAGAAUUUACAAUAUAGACCAGGGGUCGGCAACCUUUUUGCUAGGAGGGCAUAUUUCAGAAAUGCCAAAACUCAGCAGGCAACCAUGUUUCAAAUUAUUUUUUGAGACCAAAAAAAAAAAGUUCAGCUCAAUAUAUUUAUUACAUAUUUUUAAUACAUAAAUAAAAAAC